AAUAUCAAAGGUGAGCCAGUACAGGAUGGACCCGCGUCUGAUUAGCUAGUUGGUAAGGUAACGGCUUACCAAGGCGACGAUCAGUAGCCGACCUGAGAGGGUGAUCGGCCACAUUGGAACUGAGACACGGUCCAAACUCCUACGGGAGGCAGCAGUGGGGAAUAUUGCACAAUGGGCGAAAGCCUGAUGCAGCAACGCCGCGUGAGUGAUGAAGGCCUUCGGGUCGUAAAACUCUGUCCUCAAGGAAGAUAAUGACGGUACUUGAGGAGGAAGCCCCGGCUAACUACGUGCCAGCAGCCGCGGUAAUACGUAGGGGGCUAGCGUUAUCCGGAUUUACUGGGCGUAAAGGGUGCGUAGGCGGUCUUUCAAGUCAGGAGUGAAAGGCUACGGCUCAACCGUAGUAAGCUCUUGAAACUGGGAGACUUGAGUGCAGGAGAGGAGAGUGGAAUUCCUAGUGUAGCGGUGAAAUGCGUAGAUAUUAGGAGGAACACCAGUUGCGAAGGCGGCUCUCUGGACUGUAACUGACGCUGAGGCACGAAAGCGUGGGGAGCAAACAGGAUUAGAUACCCUGGUAGUCCACGCUGUAAACGAUGAGUACUAGGUGUCGGGGGUUACCCCCUUCGGUGCCGCAGCUAACGCAUUAAGUACUCCGCCUGGGAAGUACGCUCGCAAGAG
RNAcentral lists this ribosomal RNA (675 nucleotides) under Clostridioides difficile. RNAcentral describes it as "bacterial SSU rRNA". It matches the Rfam family "Bacterial small subunit ribosomal RNA", at positions 197 to 894 of the family's 1533-position model. Lineage: Bacteria; Bacillati; Bacillota; Clostridia; Peptostreptococcales; Peptostreptococcaceae. The record is from RNAcentral.